AUCAUAAUCUUUUUGGCUCCUCAGGGCUGAUGAUUGACAAUGCCCAAAGACCAUUUAAUUUCUUGGAUUACACAGAUAACAUUGCAAAGUUAGUCCUAAGAUUGAGUUUAUAGAGCUAUUGAGACUUUUUUAUGUUCCAGGGCCUGCUAAGAACUUACCUGCAUUUUUCUCAUCAAAUCCUGAUAUCAGCUUUAUGAGGUAGCUUUUUAAAAAAGUUAUGAAAUAUCCUGAGAAUCCACAGUGCCUGCAAGUGGAAGCUCUGUGCCACUCCAUAUCCUUUGCCAUGAACUCCGCAUCUAGGCCCCUCAUUCCCACAGCCAGGGAAUUUCUGCUUUUUCUGUGUCAGUGUGCUAUGUCCCAAUGGGCCCAUCAUUUUGCACUUUGGUGCACAGGAUGGAGAAGGUGGUAGUUGCACAUGGUGUUAAAGAAUUUCUCAAAAGAUGAGGGGAUGAAGGAUUGCAUGGGAAGACAGAGGUGCUUAGCUUAUACUUAGCUUCUCCAAGAGAAGGCACUGAUUAAUGGAAGUUAGACUCAGGAACAUUGUCUUUUUAUUGUUGCUGUAUGUAUUUCUGUAAUAGAGAAGAAGAACUGAGAAUUAACUUUACAUAUAUUAGGAAAAUCUGUCAACAAAAACAUUAAUAUUGCAACUUGAGAAAAGGAGAAAAGAGAAACUAGAAAUUGUCUGCAUAUAUGUAGUAAUAAUCUAUCAACAAAGUGUAUUGAGUGCUGACCCUACACCGCUGUUUGCCCUUCCAGAUCCUUUUUUCACCUUUCUCCGUCCUACUGUCUGCCCCAGAAAGACAACUUUGCCCUCUGGCUUUUAUUAUGUUUGCCAGUGGAGACCCCAUAAGAAAUUUGUAGAAGGGAGAAGAGUAAGUUUGAACCCUUUAUUCCACUGGCCUUCUGUGUGACUUGGCUGUGUCUUUUCACUGAAAGCCAUAGCUCGUCUUAAAAUGGCCCCUUUUAUAGGACUUUCCCUUUUGAAGUUACCUUCCUUUAUCCUUUUGGGCACAAGGGUGAUGAUAGUUGCCCAUGGUGAGAUUAUUAUCAUACCCAGACCUUUGUAAAUAGUCCUUUUAUUAAACUCCUUGACUUCCCAUAUGUUGAGUGUUUGUGCCAGAUGUUUCCUGCUUGGCCUCUAUUAGAAGGGAUCAUGGAGAUCAUUUUCCCCAAUUCCCUCAUUCUAAAGAGGAGUAAACGAAGACUACAAAAGUAGACAUGACUUGUCUAGGGCCACAUCUUAACGCAGUAGUGUUAUUCUUUCUGUUUGAUGUGG
This 1276-nucleotide long non-coding RNA is filed under the name Ictidomys tridecemlineatus (thirteen-lined ground squirrel). Its description in RNAcentral is "lncRNA (ENSSTOG00000029694.1)". Lineage: Eukaryota; Metazoa; Chordata; Mammalia; Rodentia; Sciuridae. The record is from RNAcentral.